GGAUUCUCAUGAGUUUGAGGCCAGCCUGGGCUACUUAGUUCAAGGCCAGCUUGAACGACAUAGUAAGACCCUGUCUCAAAAAAAAGGAUUUCCCAGGAGACUUGAGUACUUGUGUCUUGCUUCCAUCCUGGCUUUUCUUUUGUGUGUCCAGACUCUGCUCUACUCUCCCACCCUGUCUGGGUUCUGGGACACACAGCUGGCAGUGGGACUGUAACAUCCCAUCCCCUUUGGCUUUGAGAUACCCCUGAGGUGAGAGAUGAGAACCCUGGUGUGAAGGUCUGUGGCUUCUUAUCGCUGUAGAGGUAAAUAGGCCUGUGGACAGAAGGAGCAUGAGGGGCCUUGAGUUACACUGAUCUGCCCUCCCUCUCUCCGUGCCUUGGGGUUUCCAGGAAGCAUUGGUCUGCCUGUCUAUUCCAGGGGAAACUUGGAUCCUUAAGGCUUCCCAUUUGCCUUGUGUCCCAGCAGCCCCUUGAGCCACCUAGCAGACUUUGGUCCAGGACAGAAGACCCUUGUGUGUGUCCUGUGGAGUGGCAGCACCCCAGCCAAUGUCUGGGUGGGAUUUGAGGAUCUCAGGGAGGUGCUGGCUCUUGGCCUUUGCCGAGGAAGGAGAAUUGUGUCCAGGGUUCCUGGGUUUGGUUGGCUGGCUGUGCAUAGGUGAGCAUGUGAGACUUGGGAGGAGAAAUAGGCUGGGUCCGGGGAUCUCCCUGGGGAGAAGGGACCAUAGUCCACACUGGAGGAGCCAUCUGUAAAGGAGGGGCCUGAGCACUGUUUGCAAGGGGCCCAGAGACACGCCUCUAAGGUCCCUCCCCUACUGAGCCACACGCCCACUGGCCAGUUGGAGCUCUUGCAUAUCUGGUGUCCUGCACACAUCUGGGCAGGGGGCACUGGAGCAUGAACAGCUCACAGGCAGACAGUGUGGCCCAAGCUGCUUGGCUGAGCUCCUGCUGCAACCAGUCUGGGGCACUGCCAGAGUCCCUGGAGGGGCCUCCAGUGGUGCAGGCUGUGGUGCUGGGCGUGCUGUCGCUGCUUGUGCUCUGCGGGGUCCUGUUCCUGGGCGGCAACCUCCUUGUCCGAGCCCAUGGCCUGACAGCGCUGCUGGCUUAUGAGCGGCGUGCAUCCCUUGAGGCUGAGACCAGUGGAGGUGACAACUAGGUGCCAGGCCGUGUUGGGGUUUGCAUGCCUUACACCUGCGAGAGAGGCCUUUCCCCCAUGCUAGAGUUUGGGGCACAGGUACUAAAGGGCAACCCUGCUGGGCUCUAGCACUGCCCUUCGCACUGGAGGCUGGGGAGAGACUGUUGCAGGCAUCUUCGGGGGGAGUGUGGCCUGCUCAGGUCUGGAGAACAGAUGUCGCCCAGAGCAAGGAGCUUUGUGGUAUGAGUUGGGGGUGUGUGGAUGGCAAGAUUGCUGGCAGCUGGGGUGCCUCAGGAGCACAUUGCUGCAGGAAGUGGGGCUGAGGAGUCCCAGCUGUGGGGGCUGUGUCUGGCUCUUUUUACCUCUGUCUGGUCAAAGACAGGAACCAUCUGGAAGAAAGGGCCUGGGUGGCCCAAAGGACAAGGCAACUCCAGGCCAAGGCUACCUUGCCUGGGCGGUAUGUGUGGCUUUCCCUCUGCAUCCCCUUUGUUCCGAGGUGCCAGGAGCUAGUGGGAGGUUCUGUGGGUGUUGCUGUUUGUUGGGGGUGACUGACCUCUCGCCCAUUUCCCUCUGAGAAGCGAGAGUCUUGCUGGGUACCAUGAGGAGGGCUGGUGAGGGGCAGUGGGAGGGCAUGGGCAGAUGCAGCUAAGCUGCUGCUUAGCUGACGACCACGUGUGAUUCCUGUGGAGCAGUUCGUGACUUGGCACUUAUCCUGGGCAGCUGUGCCGCAGUGGCCUUGCUACAUUGACUUCUGACCUUGAGGACACCACCCCCACCCCUGGAGAGAGGGCUCUCCAGGGCUGUGAAGAGUGUGUGACUGUGCCUGGCACCAGCACCCGGCUAGGGCCAGGGGGACAGACAUUCCCUCCCCCUUACCUUGCUGGGCCUUGGGUGGGGUGGGGAGAACGUCUUUUACCCAGGUUCUUCCAGCUUCUGACCUCGUGCAUUCUGCUGCUUUAGCGUGUUUCCCCUCACCUUGUCCCAGCGUUCUCCUCUCCUACCCCAACUGGGAUAGAGGGGCUCCAGAUCCCCGGGAACCCUUUCAUUUUACAAAGAGGGAAGCUCAGAGAAUUGAGAAAAGCUCUGAAACUCAGACAGAAGCAAGUAGCAUGCUUAAGAGAAUGGCAGAGCUGGAACUGGACCUGGGGCUCAUUCCUGCCCUGGGUUGCCCCUCCUGCUCUGGCCCCCCUCCCACUGUGUUCCCACACUGUUUGAGAGGCUGAUGCAAAAAUGUGCCCUCUCUCCAAAAGACCCACCCUUCAAUACACACCUUUAUGAACAGCUUGAGUCAGGGACUUGCAACCCAAGCUCCUGUCACUGCUUCCUCCUCUCUGCUUCCCCAGUGGCUUUUUCAGAUACCCCCCUGCUGCCAGAACAGUCUCCCAGAUGCUAGGCAGCAGCAGCUCCCCAGCCGGCUGGACUCAGCUUUCCUGGGUGGAACCUGAAGAGUGGGGAAAGACUGAGGGUUGCUAGAAUAAACACCUGUGGAGAAAGUCCAGGCAGGUGGAGCUGAGGGGUGAUGGCCUUGGAGUUGGUCUUUGGGUUCAAGUGUUUGGGGUGUUAGGGGUAUGGUGGAGGGAAGGGCUGUGUCCCCAGCAUCAUCAUGUCUGCUCAUACCCAGGACAGGGUGAGGAUCAUGACGGGGUAGGCAAAGAGUUUCCUCAACUUCCUGCCUUUGCUUUUCCUUCAUCAUAGUGUUUGGAAUGGGUGUGGGGUGUGCUGGGGACCUCAGUGUUCCUGGGGGGAAGAUACUGAGAUGUUUGCUUUGGAACACUGACCUUGAUCAGGCUGAGUGGGGAGGAAAAGAAUUUGGAAAAUGGUAACGUGAGUGCUGUUGUCACUCCCUCGGGCACUGGCAGGGAGUGAGAGAUGAGGGCCCAGUGUAGGUCUGAGCACCCGAAGAGCUCCAUCUGCCUGUGCUGUCCAUGGUGGCAUAACUUUCUUCCAGCCCAAGUUCACCCUGGGCUGGAAUAGGCUGCAGGGUCUAUCUGACCCCUCCCUAGGCCUCACAGCAGUGCAGCUUCCUUCCAGCAAGGGAGGGGACGGCCAUCUGUUACAGAUUCCUGAACCUUGGUGUGGUCUGUGGUCUGCCUUCGGGAGUACUCCCCUCCAGCUGCCCUCCGGAGAACUCCUGCCACCUUUGACCCAUUUGCCCCUGCACGUGACGGACUGGGAAGCACCUGGACUGUGGUGACAUCCUGGGGCCCUUGUACCCAGCUGUUGCCUCUGAGCUGCUCCCCUCAACCCUCUGAAAUACUGCUGGGUGUGGGGCCUGGGGGCUCUGUGCUCUAGGAAUGAUUACGGACUGCUGUGUGUCCUCCAGGACAUGGCCACAUAGACUGGGUGCUCCGUGCAAGAGAUGCUGUGCCCUCUGUCCACCAGGUCUCUGGACAUGAGCGCAGCCCCGUCCUGCCUGGUGCGAGCAGUGCAGAUGUGAGAGGCCACUGACAUGUCCCUGCUGAGGGCUACUGGUCAGUGCCACCCAUUUGGAAGCCCAGGGUACCUGAGCAAUCCAGAAAUGCCCCAUCACUUUCUAUGGCUAGUUAUUAAAUAUCCUGGUAAUGCAAAUUUCUGGUGUGUAGUCUGUUUCUAGCCCUUGACACUGUCGUUGGUUUGUCUUUUCCUUUGGUACUGGGGAUGGAACUCAAGACCUUCUGCUUGCAAGGCAGGCAUGGUGCUACUGAGCUAAAUCCCUGGCCCUUUCUUGACACUUUGGAUCUCAGUGUGUUGUUCAGGCUGGCCUUGGACUCACAGCAGUCUUCUGCCUCAGCCUCCCUAGUGCCGGGAUCAGGGGUGUGCAUCACCACACCUGGCCCUGCCCCUUGACUCUUAGUGGUUUGUUCCCUUCCCUCCAGGUUGACCUGUUUCUAGCAAAUACUGAAAUGCAGCCCCAACCAUGACCCCUGUCCCCUUGCCUUUCCUCUCUUGUGACCUUUUCCUCCUCAGCUCCAAGUCUUUCUGGAGGUGGAUUGACGCGUGCCAGCCCUUUGCUGCCUCUCUGUGGCCAGUAUGUGCAAGAGCACUGCUUCCUUCUGAGUAGCUGGAGGCUGGUGCUGAGAGGAGAGUGGGUUUUGUGUGCCCUGAGCUUCAGAUUGCAGACUUGCUUGAACCGCAGUCUCUCUGUCCAAGAAGUGGAAGCAGCAAUGACCUGGGAAGAUGGCCAUGUUUGUGUUUGUGUGGGGAAGAUGACUCAGUUGAGUUUGUCACCUGAUGUGGAAUUUGUGAACAGAAGCAAAAUUUUAUUGAACAUGUUUGAGAACCAAACUGUUUGCGAACAGAAGCGUUCAUGAACUGAGGCACCACUGUACCUGGAUUUGAAUUCUGACACCACAUUUAAACUGACUGUAAAGUUCCUGAGCAAGGAAUCAAACUCGGGACCCUGUGCUUGCGAGGCAGGUGGUGGAGCCACUGAGCUAAAUCCCCGGCCCCUGUAUCCAUGUUCUUUACAUCUCAUUGGAUCCCUGGACUUCACUUCAUUUCCUCCGCAGAUACGUACCACUGGCAGCUGCUUUGGAGGUUGAAUGUCCUUCUGGGAGUUGAUUGUUAGUUUCUAGGUAACACUCAGCCAGUUGACUUCUACAGAGACCCUUGGAAGGGGAGGUUGGAGAAGCAUCUUCUCGGUUUGCCUGCACCUUGCAGCUGGCUCACCCACCCUCACUCAUGGACCCUCACCCUACAAGAUGAGACCUGGGCUGCCUGAUGUUCUCCCAGCCUGUUCUGCAUCAGCACAGGACCCCACCCUGUUCCUGAUCUCCACAGGGUUCCUCAGCCCCUUACAGGGGGGCACGGGGGAGGGGGCAUGUGCUGCUCCAGGGGAUAGGCUUUGGAUUCUGUCUUUGACUAGCAUUCUUACUUCUUGGAUCAUGACUGCUUCCAGCUUCUCUGGGAAACAUCGCACCUCUGAUAGCCAGGUCUUGGGUCCAGUCCCAAAGCCAGCUCAGGUGGGCCAGUUCCAGGUGAUGCCAAAGCCAAAGGGUUGAGGGGAGUGCACUGAAGGGCAGUGCUGUGUGUCUUUUUUCUCCUUGAAUACUGAGAUUGAAUCCAGGGCCCAUACACUGAGUUACUUCCCCAACCUCUUAAAAUUUUUUUUUAUUCUGAGACAGGGUCUUGCUAAUUCAUUAAGUUGCCCAUGCUGGGCUUGAACUUGUAAUUCAGGCAUGUGCCACUUCACCCUUCUCAGUGCAGUAGUUUGAAUGUCUCACCAAAACUCAUGAUGUAUUAUUCUUUAUUAUUAUUAUUGUUAUUAUUAUUAUUAUUAUUAUUAUUAUUAUUUUGGUACUGGAGAUCUAAUGCAGGACUUCUCUAUCACUGAUUUACAUUCCCAGCCCUUUUUAUUUUUUGAGACGGUUUUGUUAAGUUGCCCAGGCUAGGGUUGCACUUGCUAGGCAGGUGCAACAAAUAUUUUUUUUGGUACCAGGGAUCAAAAACCCAGGACCUUGUGCUUGUGAAGCAGGUGCGGCGCCACUGAGCUAAAUCCCCAUCCCUUAGGCUUGCACUUUCGAUGAUUCUGCUACCUCAGCCUCCUCAGUAGCUGGCCUCAUGUUGAAAUUUAAUCCCUAUUAAGAAGUAUUAAGUGGGCAGAAACUUAAUGCAACUAUACCGUUUGGAGAUGGGACAUUUGGGAGGUAAUUAGGGUUGAAUGAGGCCAUAAUGGUGGGUCCCUAAUCAAGUGGGACUGUGGCUUUCUGAGAAGUGGAGAGAAUUGAGUAGGACAUUCUGUCUGGCCAUGUUCUGUCUUGGGACUCUGCAGCGAGUCCCCACCAGCAAGAACAGCCUUACCAUAAGUGGCUGCUUUAUGUUGGACUUCUCAGCCUUUAGAACAGUGAGCCAAACAAACCUUUAUCCUUUAUGAAUUCUUAGUCUGUGGUAUUAAGUUCCAGUAAAAGAAAACAAACUAAGACAAGUGGCAUAUUGUUGGAGGGUUCACCUGGUCCUCGUGGGAGAUUCCUAGGAGCAGGAAGGAGCAGGAGAUCAGCAGCCAGAUGUCAAGUCUCCAGUGGAUGUCAGGGCAGUCUGCAAUUCAUUCCUUCAUUCGUUCACUCAGUCAGUCUGCGCCUCUAUUUAUAAAGCACCUAACAUGCCAGGCUCUGCUCCAGGCCUGCAGGUGUAGCAGUGAGCAUAACAGCCAGAAGUCUCUGCCCUUGUGCUGCUUGCAUUCUUUUUAUUUUUUUUUUGGUGGUACCGGGGAUUGAACUGAGGACCUUGCACUUGCAAGGCAGGUGCAGUGCCACUGAGCUAAAUCCCUGGCCUGCUCCUUGCAUUCUUGAGAAGUGGAUUAGGUGAUGAACUCUGUGCAUAAUUUAGCAUAGAUACAGCAGAUGGUACGUUGGUGCCGAGGGCUGCUGCAACAAAUGACUACAAGAGCAGAAUUGAUUCUCUUACAGUUCUCUAGGCUGGAAGUCCCAGAUCCAGGUGCCAGCAGGGCCUUGCUCCCUCUCAAACCUGGUGGGGAAUCCUUCCUUGCCUCUUUCUAACCUCUGGUGGUGGCAGCAAUAUUUGAUGUCUCUGUCUUCAGAUUUCUUCCUUCUUGUAAAGACAUCGGUCAUUUUGGCUUUAGGGGCCUACUCCAUUCCAGUCUGGAAUGACCUCAUCUUUUUUUUUUUAAAUAACUUUAUUAUCAAACACAUACACAUACAGAAAUUAAAACCAUUCAAAGAAGAACAAUGCAAGGGAAAAAAACUACAAUAAUAUUCAAAUACAGUAGAACUCAAUGACCAAUAUUUUUUGAAUGAAAGGCUGAAUUGCUCCAAAAUGUCUUUUGCUACUGCCUUAAAACCAUACCAUUCUGAGUUUAUUUAUUUAUUUAUUUAUUUUCCCAUGGAAUGACCUCAUUUUAAUUUAACUGAUGAAUUCUAGCUGGGUGUGGUGGUUCACACCUGUAAUCCCAGAACUCUGGGAAGUUGAGGCAGGAGAAUCAUUGCAAGUUCAAGCCCAGCCUGGGCAAUUUAGUGACUUAUUGCUAACCUAUCUCAAAGUAAAAAAUAAAAAAGGACUGGGGCCGUAGUUCACUGUGAAGGCCCAGGGUUCAACCUCCAGUACUGAAAAAAAAGUUUAACUAAUUGCUUCAGCAGUGACUAUUUACAGACCCAGUUGCACUCUGCAGUACUGGGGGUUAGAACAUCAACAUGUCUUUGGGGGUGAUGGGAAUCAGUGCUAUGGAGAAAGGCAGACAGGGUGCAUGGGAGCGGAGGGAAAAGGCUGCACCUUUAAGGGAGGGUGCAUGGAGAAGGUGACAUUUGAGCCACCACCUGAAUGAGCAAAUAGAGGAGGGAGUUUGGGAGAAGCACUCUAGGCAAUGGAGCAAGUGCCAGACUGGUGGCCCGGAGAGGAGAAGGAGCAUCAGGGAGCCCCAGGGAGCUGGGUGCAGAGAGUGAGGGGCACCUGUGAGAACCGGGGAAUAUGAAGGUAGGGAGCAUAAGGGAUGCGGAGCCCCUGCAGCCUUGGUCCUGGGUGGGAAGAAUGAGUGAGAGGCUACAGGCCUGAAGAUGGGCUGUGCUAGUACCUCUUCCUUCGAAGCCCUGUAGACUGUGUUCUCCCCAAGCCCGAGAGUGAGCCAGAAAUGAGGUUAGCAUGGGCUCUUUUGUGCCCUGGGAGACAGGAAAGACGGGCAGCUCUUAGGCCUGAGUGUCUGCUGGGUGUGGUCCCCUUGUGCAAGAGGCCAGAGAUGGCCAGCAAGUGGGGCAGCUUCUUGCAUGUGUCCCCAUCCCUGCUGCCAUCCUCUCCUGUCCUAAUACACACUGAACUUCCCUGGAUGCCAAGGUCUCUUUCAGGGAAGGUUCAAGCUGGCUCUCAGAGCUCUGAGUAAGGACUUCAUUUAGCCACCUCUCUCCCUCCUACUACAGAAGGUUCCCUCAUGUGCGGGCCUUACUGUCCCUCUGCAUGCUCCCCUCAGCUUCCAUGAUGUUCACAGUUCUGCUUCAGGUGGCUACUCAUGGGGACCUCGGCCCGACCCUCUGCUAUUUCCCAGGCAGAGAUCGGGGUUCUAACUCCAGCCCUCUCUUCCUCCGCUAGGCCUCACCUUUCAGAGCCCCUCUUCAUCGACAGUUGACAGUCCACGCAGUCCCUCCCGUUUUCAUGACUUUGAGCCUAUUCCUUGCAAAAAACCCUGGCUCAAGAUGCAUUUGCCUCCUUCUUGGCCUGGCUUUCGAGAUAAGAGCCAUCAGAUUAGCUGGAAAUGUCUCUGUUCAAGCCAUCUGCUCAAAUGCCAGCUCCAUUAGGAGAAGGGUUUUAUUCACUGCACACAGAGGACUGUUAGGAAGCGUAUUUUUGAACGGAUGGCAUUGCCUUUAAAAUUUCUUCUUUAAUCAGAGAGAGGAGGGGGAACUGGAAAUGUGUCAUAGCUCUUCAGCUUUCUCAGGCACAAACAUGUGUCACCUCCCUGAAUCUGCUAGAAACUAAGGGAGGCACACUGGGGUUGAUCAUGUGACAUGCUGCUGGCAUAAUCAGAAGAGUUACAGAAAUGUUAUAGCAGAGUUUGAGGUGGACAUUUGGUAGGCUGGCGGAUACUGUCAUGCUCAUCUUUUUGAUUUAGCAUUAAUGAAGUUUCCUGAGGAAAUCAAGUAACACUCCAAAAUGUUCCCAAUACUGUCAGUUCUUCAGAUUCCACUCUUCAUGAGUUUGCAAAAAAAGGAAAAAAUGUUCAAUAUAUUUUUCUAGGUAGGCUAGCAAGGCCAAGAGGGACACAGCUGUGUCACUGGCUGAAAAUGUGAACAGCAUGCUCUUGGACCUGGGAAGCGUCCUGAAGUUUAUGGAAAUGAAAAUAUCGGGAAUGCAGUCAAUCACUUCAAAGGCACAGGUGGCUGCUAAGUGGAACAGUUUGCUGCCUGUUGGUUCCCAAUUUCAAAUGUAUCUUUUUGUUUAAAAUGUCUUUAUCACAUACCAAAUGUUACAGGAAUUGUAAGGGAAAUGAACUAAAAGUAGAAACAAUAUUUCAUCAUUUGUCAUUUGAGAAAUGAUGAAUAUUUCAAAACCAUUUGGUAGGAAGCAGGGGAUUAUGUCCCACCUUUCCUCCCCCAGGGGUAAGGCAGUGUUUCUCCAAGUGGGUUUCAAUCUCCUGUGGCCCCAGGAGCCCUAAUGGGUGUUAUAUAAGAAAAGGAUCCUGGCUGGGGCUUUAGCUCAGUGGUUCCACCCCCGCCUCAAAAGCGCAAGGUCCCAAGUUUGAUCUCUGGUACCAAAAAAAAAAAAAGGAUCCAGGGUCUUAUCAGUUGGGGGGAGGUUGUUGUGUUAAACAAGUUUCUUUAUUGCAGUUCCCUUCCUACAUACUCUCCCCCACCAUAUACUGGGGAUGGAAUCUAGGGCCUUCAUACUGAGCAAUCUCCCCCACUCUUUUUAAUUUAAAUUUCCAGACAGGGUCUCACCAAGUUGCUAAGUUGCCCAGGCUGAGCUCAAAUUUGUCAUCUUCCUGCCUCAGCUUCCCAGAGUGCUGGGAUUACAGUGUGUGCCACCACGCCCUUGCCACUGUAGUUCUUUUAAGGGGUAAUGGUUUGCAAAUAUUAUGAUGAAUAUAAAAGAGAGGCUGAAGCCAGGCAUGGUAGUGCACACCUGCAAUCUCAGUAAUUGGGAGGCCAAGGCCAGCCUGGGUUACAUAGUUCAAGGGCAGCCUGAAUACAUAGCGAGACCCUGUCUCACCCCCCACCCCCCAAAAAAAGAGAAAAGAAAGAGAGAGACUGAGGAGCGAGGAUUGCUGAGUCCAUCCUGGGCAAUAUAGGAGCAAGACCUUGGAGAAAAAGAGAGAGGGAGGGAGGGAGAAAGAGAGAGAGAGAGAGAGACUUUCUAAGUAGAUUUGAUCAAAGAAUUCUUUACCUUCCUUUCUACUGCUUUUUCCUUUUUUUGAUGCUGUGGUUCAAACUCAGGUUCUUGAGUCUGCUAGGCAAGGGCUCUGCCACUGAGCUGUACUUCCACACCUCCUUUUUUUUCUUUUUUAAAGGAGCCUCUCAUGGGACCACUGUUCUAAAAACCAUGCUUUGAGAAAUGUGCUAAAACCUCUCUCUCUCUCUCUCUCUCUUUUUUUCUGGUAUCGGGGAUCGAACUUGGGACCUUGUGCUUGUGAGGCAGGCGCCAGAACCACUGAGCUAAGCCCCUGGCCCCCUAUCUCUCUUUUUUUUGAGACAGGGUCUCACUACGUAGUUCAGGCUGGCCUGGCCUUGAACUCACUGUGUGGCCCAGACUAGCCUCAAACUUGUGAAUAUCCUCCUGCCUCAGUCUUCUGAGUGCUGGUAUUGCAGGUGUGUGCUACCACACCUGACUUUAAAACUUUCUCCUUAGAAGAGAAGAAAAUUUUAGAGAAGAUUAGAUCAUGCUACUUCAGAUAGCACAUUUUCUUUACUUUGUCAGAACAACAGUAUAAAAUUAAUUUUAUUUCCAAAGAUUAUAAUGCCAUAUUACUAAAUUUAAAUUUAUUUUUUUCCUAAGGAGUGAUUUAAAAAAAUAUUUCCGAACUACAACUUAAUGUGAAACAAACUUCUAUGCAGAGCAAUAGCCAAAUAUGUUCAAGAAUUUUAUGCAGAAUGCAAAUGUGGUCCCAUAAUUUCCUUUUUUGCACAACUUAUUUUAUCUAAAGUUCUUUGUGGUUUCAGCAAUGCUAUAGACCAAUGAUGGUGAACCUUUUAGAGCCUGCUGUGGCACGCAUGCCAUAGAUUUGCCACUACUGCUAUAGGUCUUGGCUGGUUUCCCUUCCACACAUAAGGCGGCUGUUGCAGAGGAAGCCCAUUCCUCACAGAGCUGUUUUUCGCUCUUUGGUUUGGCUGAUCACUACGGUAGCCCAGCAACCUUGUUGCCUGAAAUGAACUGACCCAGAGCCAAGGGUCAGUGGCCUAGGCUGCUGGCUGAGGCGCAGGAACUGGGGGCCAAGCCAAGGGCACCCAAAGGGCUGAUUUGCAGCUUGCAGGGAGGUUGGCUGCAUUUGCGGAGUGACUGGUAAUGUUUUACUGAGUUAAUCUGAGCUUACCUCCGUACAGCUUAUCACACUAUAUUUUCUGAUCUUCAGUUUCUGAGUUGUGCCAUCAUUGGCUUCCGUGGUUACGGUGGGGGGGGGGGUUGUCAUGUUGGCUCAUGUUGUUGUGAUGGAAAUGAACAGAUUCUUUAUGAAGCUACUUUAUUACAAAAAUAAGAAUGCUUUUGGAAAAAAAUGAACUUGGAAAUUUCUCACAGAAACCGAAAGUGGAAAUAAGAAGGACUGAAAUGUAUAAUGGAUGUUGGGAAAUGGGAAGAAAGUGUUCAAAUGGGAAAGGGAACA
Heterocephalus glaber (naked mole-rat) is the source of this 11365-nucleotide non-coding RNA. The record is from RefSeq and is a predicted model, not a curated record. Lineage: Eukaryota; Metazoa; Chordata; Mammalia; Rodentia; Bathyergidae.